UUGCACUCUGCUAUGUCCCCUCAGCUAGACAGGUGUCAUGUAGGUAUUAUGAAUAGUUCAUCAAUAUUAAGAACAUCAGUUACUUCUCAAUACCAAAGAUACAUUGCAAUUAGAUUAAUACAAACAGCAAAAAGAAAAUGGCUAAUAUUCAACAUCCUUUUCUCUUUAGUUGUCAGUUCUUUAUUUUCCUAAAAGUUGGCUUGUUUACUGAACAAGACUUGUUUAUUUUUCUUCCAACUCUGUCUGCCACAGGCCAUUUUCACAACCUGUAAUUCUUUUGGCUUUAACACAUAUUUGUGGCUAUUUUUAAGUGAUAAUUGCUUCUUCAUCACCAUUUUUCCCCCAUCUCACUUGUGCUUUAAGUCUCUAAGCUCUGAAAUUCUCUCCACUAAAGCAGCUUGUUGGUUUCUAGAGUAACCAGGUCCUGCUGCAUUCCUUCCCUCCAUGCCUCUGUCCACCUCUUUUCAUGAUUGUCCUAAAAUACUAUGCAUCAGAAAUAUGCUUAGCAGUAAAACUCAACUCUCUUACAUUGCAGAUGGGGACAAAAAAUGGAAAACAGUUUGUCAGUUCCUUUUAAGCUUAAAUAUACAAUUUCCUUAUGACCAACCACCCUGGGUACUACCCUAAAGAAAUAAAAUCUGGUGUUGGCACAUAAACCUGUUCACAAAUGUUUAUGGCAG
RNAcentral lists this long non-coding RNA (680 nucleotides) under Marmota monax (woodchuck). Lineage: Eukaryota; Metazoa; Chordata; Mammalia; Rodentia; Sciuridae. The record is from RNAcentral.